GGGCCCGCACAAGCGGUGGAGCAUGUGGUUUAAUUCGAUGAUACGCGAGGAACCUUACCAGGGCUUAAAUGGGAAAUGACAGGGGCAGAGACGCCCCCUUCUUCGGACAUUUUUCAAGGUGCUGCAUGGUUGUCGUCAGCUCGUGCCGUGAGGUGUCAGGUUAAGUCCUAUAACGAGCGCAACCCCUACCGUUAGUUGCCAGCGUGUAAUGACGGGGACUCUAACGGAACUGCCGGUGCAAACCGUGAGGAAGGUGGGGACGACGUCAAAUCAUCACGGCCCUUACGUCCUGGGCCACACACGUGCUACAAUGGUAGGUACAGAGGGAAGCCACCCCGCGAGGGGGAGCGGAUCUACAAAGCCGGUCUCAGUUCGGAUCGCAGUCUGCAACUCGACUGCGUGAAGCUGGAAUCGCUAGUAAUCG
This 424-nucleotide ribosomal RNA is filed under the name uncultured bacterium. Its description in RNAcentral is "bacterial SSU rRNA". It matches the Rfam family "Bacterial small subunit ribosomal RNA", at positions 917 to 1344 of the family's 1533-position model. The record is from RNAcentral.